UACGUAGGGUGCGAGCGUUAAUCGGAAUUACUGGGCGUAAAGCGUGCGCAGGCGGUUUUGUAAGCCAGAUGUGAAAUCCCCGGGCUUAACCUGGGAAUGGCAUUUGGGACUGCAAGGCUCGAGUGCGGCAGAGGAGACUGGAAUUCCUGGUGUAGCAGUGAAAUGCGCAGAUAUCGGGAGGAACACCAAUUGCGAAGGCAGCUCGCUGGGACGUCACUGACGCUGAGACGCGAAAGCGUGGGGAGCAAACAGG
This 253-nucleotide ribosomal RNA is filed under the name uncultured bacterium. Its description in RNAcentral is "partial 16S ribosomal RNA". It matches the Rfam family "Bacterial small subunit ribosomal RNA", at positions 524 to 776 of the family's 1533-position model. The record is from RNAcentral.